Molecule: ribosomal RNA, 255 nt
Filed under: uncultured bacterium
Lineage: Bacteria
Description: partial 16S ribosomal RNA
Rfam family: Bacterial small subunit ribosomal RNA
Source: RNAcentral
UACGUAGGGGGCAAGCGUUGGUCCGGAAUCAUUGGGCGUAAAGAAGCGUGUAGGCGGCCCGGUAAGUCCGUUGUGAAAGUCCAGGGCUCAACCCUGGAAAGCCGAUGGAUACUGCCGGGCUAGAGUUCGGAAGAGGCGAGUGGAAUUCCUGGUGUAGCGGUGGAAUGCGCAGAUAUCAGGAGGAACACCUAUAGCGAAGGCAGCUCGCUGGGACGACACUGACGCUGAGACGCGAAAGCGUGGGGAGCGAACAGG